CAAAGGUGAAAUGUCAUAAUCUUUUAAGAAAAUUGCACAGUGACUGGCAUUUACAAAGGUUUUCACAGGCCCUUUUCAAAGAUUUUCACUUGGGUGACAAAAAUUGUACAGUUUGUGUGACCUUUAGUGAAAGUGAGCUACGUAUGCAAUGGCUGUCUAUUGAAAACGUGUUGUCUGUUUUGUUGGCUUAAAUGUGCAGACCCAAAUUGCAGGACAUCCGAUAAAGCAAAAUAAUAGAUCCAGCUAUAGAUAUGUAUAUGCAUAU
This is a long non-coding RNA of Drosophila willistoni, 265 nucleotides long. RefSeq lists it as uncharacterized. Lineage: Eukaryota; Metazoa; Arthropoda; Insecta; Diptera; Drosophilidae. The record is from RefSeq and is a predicted model, not a curated record. The transcript has 3 exons.